AACGAACGCUGGCGGCAUGCCUAACACAUGCAAGUCGAACGGGACCUUCGUGUCUAGUGGCGCACGGGUGCGUAACGCGUGGGAACCUGCCCUUAGGUUCGGAAUAACUCCCCGAAGGGGGUGCUAAUACCGGAUAAUGUCUUCGGACCAAAGAUUUAUGGCCUUUGGAUGGGCCCGCGUUGGAUUAGCUAGUUGGUAGGGUAAAAGCCUACCAAGGCGAGGAUCCAUAGCUGGUCUGAGAGGAUGAUCAGCCACACUGGGGCUGAGACACGGCCCAGAAUCCUAGGGGAGGCAGGAGUGGGGAAUAUUGGACAAUGGGCGAAAGCCUGAUCCAGCAAUGCCGGGUGAGUGAUGAAGGCCUUAGGGUUGUAAAGCUGUUUUACCCGGGAUGAUAAUGACAGUACCGGGAGAAUAAGCACCGGCUAACUACGUG
Molecule: ribosomal RNA, 433 nt
Filed under: uncultured bacterium
Lineage: Bacteria
Description: partial 16S ribosomal RNA
Rfam family: Bacterial small subunit ribosomal RNA
Source: RNAcentral